This 400-nucleotide ribosomal RNA is filed under the name uncultured bacterium. RNAcentral's name for it is "bacterial SSU rRNA". It matches the Rfam family "Bacterial small subunit ribosomal RNA", at positions 773 to 1167 of the family's 1533-position model. The record is from RNAcentral.
AGAGAAUAGAUACCCCGGUAGUCCAUGCCGUAAACGUUGGGCACUAGGUGUGGGGGACAUUCCACGUUUUCCGCGCCGUAGCUAAACGCAUUAAGUGCCCCGCCUGGGGAGUACGGCCGCAAGGCUAAAACUCAAAGGAAUUGACGGGGGCCCGCACAAGCGGCGGAGCAUGCGGAUUAAUUCGAUGCAACGCGAAGAACCUUACCAAGGCUUGACAUGGACCGGAUCGCUGCAGAAAUGUGGUUUUCUCCUUUUGGGGCCGGUUCACAGGUGGUGCAUGGUUGUCGUCAGCUCGUGUCGUGAGAUGUUGGGUUAAGUCCCGCAACGAGCGCAACCCUCGUUCCAUGUUGCCAGCACGUGAUGGUGGGGACUCAUGGGAGACUGCCGGGGUCAACUCGGA